ACGAACGCUGGCGGCGUGCCUAAUACAUGCAAGUAGCACGCUGAAGGAGGAGCUUGCUCUUCUGGAUGAGUUGCGAACGGGUGAGUAACGCGUAGGUAACCUGCCUGGUAGCGGGGGAUAACUAUUGGAAACGAUAGCUAAUACCGCAUAACAGUAGAUGUUGCAUGACAUUUGCUUAAAAGGUGCAAUUGCAUCACUACCAGAUGGACCUGCGUUGUAUUAGCUAGUUGGUGGGGUAACGGCUCACCAAGGCGACGAUACAUAGCCGACCUGAGAGGGUGAUCGGCCACACUGGGACUGAGACACGGCCCAGACUCCUACGGGAGGCAGCAGUAGGGAAUCUUCGGCAAUGGACGGUAGUCUGACCGAGCAACGCCGCGUGAGUGAAGAAGGGUUUCGGAUCGUAAAGCUCUGUUGUAAGAGAAGAACGAGUGUGAGAGUGGAAAGUUCACACUGUGACGGUAUCUUACCAGAAAGGGACGGCUAACUACGUG
This 494-nucleotide ribosomal RNA is filed under the name uncultured bacterium. Its description in RNAcentral is "partial 16S ribosomal RNA". It matches the Rfam family "Bacterial small subunit ribosomal RNA", at positions 29 to 507 of the family's 1533-position model. The record is from RNAcentral.